This 330-nucleotide long non-coding RNA is filed under the name Brassica napus (rape). RNAcentral describes it as "long non-coding RNA (BNAP_LNC020279)". Lineage: Eukaryota; Viridiplantae; Streptophyta; Magnoliopsida; Brassicales; Brassicaceae. The record is from RNAcentral.
GGGGCCGGGGAUAUAUAGCAUGAAUGCGUUUGCUUUAUGUGUUAAUCAAAGGUCAAUUUCCUUGUAUGGAACAUGCCCAUCUCACAGAAAAGUCUUUCUUGUUAUUUGCAACGAAAAAAAGACACAACAACUUUAUAAGUCUUUGGCUCUUUUGCAUUGCUUUUCUUCAUCGACUUUUCUUUCAUCCUAGGGGUCAAAAUGAUGUUUAAGGGCUGAAACUUUCCAAGCCUAACAAUAUUUUUUUUGGUUACUGAUUUUCCAAGCCUAACAUAAAACAUCGAAAUGAUUCCUCAAAUGUCAGAUAUAGAAAGCAUCAAAACGUUUACUGCU